This 253-nucleotide unclassified non-coding RNA is filed under the name uncultured Micrococcales bacterium. RNAcentral describes it as "contains 16S-23S intergenic spacer region". It matches the Rfam family "Bacterial small subunit ribosomal RNA", at positions 524 to 776 of the family's 1533-position model. The record is from RNAcentral. Lineage: Bacteria; Bacillati; Actinomycetota; Actinomycetes; Micrococcales.
UACGGGGGGGACAAACGUUGUUCGGAUUUAUUGGGCGUAAAGAGCUCGUAGGCGGUUUGUCGCGUCUGCUGUGAAAUCCCGAGGCUCAACCUCGGGCCUGCAGUGGGUACGGGCAGACUAGAGUGCGGUAGGGGAGACUGGAAUUCCUGGUGUAGCGGUGGAAUGCGCAGAUAUCAGGAGGAACACCGAUGGCGAAGGCAGGUCUCUGGGCCGCAACUGACGCUGAGGAGCGAAAGCAUGGGGAGCGAACAGG